AGUGAACGCUGGCGGUAGGCCUAACACAUGCAAGUCGAACGGCAGCACAGUAAGAGCUUGCUCUUACGGGUGGCGAGUGGCGGACGGGUGAGGAAUACAUCGGAAUCUACUUUUUCGUGGGGGAUAACGUAGGGAAACUUACGCUAAUACCGCAUACGACCUACGGGGGAAAGCAGGGGAUCGUCGGACCUUGCGCGAUUGAAUGAGCCGAUGUCGGAGUAGCUAGUUGGCGGGGUAAAGGCCCACCAAGGCGACGAUACGUAGCUGGUCUGAGAGGAUGAUCAGCCACCCUGGAGCUGAGACACCGUCCAGACUCCUACGGGAGGCCGCAGUGGGGAAUAUUGGACAAUGGGCGCAAGCCUGAUCCAGCCAUCCCGCGUGGGUGAAGAAGGCGUUCGGGUUGUAAAGCCCUUUUGUUGGGAAAGAAACGCAGCAGGUUAAUACCCCGCUGUUCUGACGGUACCCAAAGAAUAAGCACCGGCUAACUUCGUG
This 492-nucleotide ribosomal RNA is filed under the name uncultured bacterium. RNAcentral describes it as "partial 16S ribosomal RNA". It matches the Rfam family "Bacterial small subunit ribosomal RNA", at positions 29 to 507 of the family's 1533-position model. The record is from RNAcentral.